Molecule: long non-coding RNA, 856 nt
Organism: Heterocephalus glaber (naked mole-rat)
Lineage: Eukaryota; Metazoa; Chordata; Mammalia; Rodentia; Bathyergidae
Source: Ensembl
AGGAGAUGGAGUUUGAGACACGAAAGAGGGACAUUUAGCCUCGUAGGCCAGGGUGAGAAGUUUCUUGUUCUGUGAGAGUCAGAGAUGUCUUUCUCAAAGAUCACUUUGGUGUGGACUGAGGGAGACUAGUCAUGGCCAUGGCAGGCUCUCAGGCAUGGCCAGGCCAGGAAGUGCUGUGGAGUGCUGGAUGCUGAGCUCCCCAGGUGAUUCUAGGUACAGUCCAAUGGUGAUCCAGCAAGCGGCAGAGAUUGAACUUUCGAAGACUCAUCGAACCCCACCUUCUCCCCACGUCCUUGCGCCCGUCUGACCUGGUCCCACGAGGCUCGCCUGGAGAGAAUGGGUAUGAUGCAACCCUGGUGUCGUGAAAUAGCCGGGUAAGAGGAUGCGCUGCUCGUCGGCCUGAUUCACAACACCAGCUGCAGCAAGAUACCAGAACUCCGCUGGCUUCUCCUCUGGGUCGUGGCUCCUCUGGUUUUCAGACAGUGACAAACCCACACAAACAUCUUCCCCAGGGCCAGAGAGGCACCAGGGCCUGGGUCUGCAAACGUGAAAGCUGAGCCUCUGCCCACAUGGGGCUCACAGACUUGAUCACAGGGAAGAGGGAAAGAGAAAGAUGCAAAACCCUGUACAGUGCAAGAGGAUCAGAGCUGCAAUGGAGGACCAGGCCUGGGAAGAGCUGGGAAGCCAGAGGCUGGGCUGCAGCCUUUCUGGCAACCAGGACCAAGAAACUGGGAUUUCUCUUAAGCCUGCAGAGCUUGUGGUGUGUCUAUUGCAGUCCUGCUCCUUCUACCUGGACAUUGUUAAAGCAGUCCGACACUAAAGUAUUUUGAAGCUACUGGCAGCUAAAGCAAGAAGG